AUACGGGGGGGGCGAGCGUUGUCCGGAAUCAUUGGGCGUAAAGGGUGAGUAGGCGGGAUGGUAAGUCAGAGGUGAAAGUCCAGGGCUCAACUCUGGAUCUGCCUCUGAUACUGCUGUCCUUGAGUGCGGGAGAGGGAAGUGGAAUUCCCGGUGUAGCGGUGAAAUGCGUAGAUAUCGGGAAGAACACCAGUGGCGAAGGCGGCUUCCUGGCCCGCAACUGACGCUGAAUCACGAAAGCGUGGGGAGCAAACAGGAUUAGAUACCCUAGUAGUCC
Molecule: ribosomal RNA, 274 nt
Filed under: uncultured bacterium
Lineage: Bacteria
Description: partial 16S ribosomal RNA
Rfam family: Bacterial small subunit ribosomal RNA
Source: RNAcentral